This 1383-nucleotide long non-coding RNA is filed under the name Theropithecus gelada (gelada). RNAcentral describes it as "lncRNA (ENSTGEG00000009231.1)". Lineage: Eukaryota; Metazoa; Chordata; Mammalia; Primates; Cercopithecidae. The record is from RNAcentral.
AACAAUCCUAAGUUGCUCAGUCCUCACCAAGGCAGGGGGCUGAGAUUUUCCCUCCAGAGAGCCCCCCGCCCCCAAGCUCUUUCGGUGGCGGAGACACCCAGAAAGAGCGAGGGAGGCUGUGGGUCUAUCUGUCCCUCUGCGGCGACUGCCCAGCCGCGAGGCAGGCCCCGUCCGUCCCCUUGGACGCCCCGCGCCGGGUCCACCACGCCACCGGCCGCCGCGAGCGGGCUCAGCCCCAGGGGUCUCUGCUGUGAGGCCACCCUCCUCCCGCCGGGCCCCGCGCCACUCGCCUUUCCCGUGCCGGCCGCGGACUCUGCGCUCCGGUUCCCACCCGCAGCCCAGAGUCUCCAGGCCCGCUGGUCGCGGGGCCGGCUCACGCCACUACCUGCAGGGGCCGCCGCGCCUCUCAGCGCCACGCCGCCGCCAUCUUGCAUUUCAAACCGGCUGCACUUUUCAGGGAGUCAACUCUGACCUGUGAACCCUAAACCCGGAACCGCUCGGCGGGCCCGCAAAGGGGCCUCAGCAGCUCGGUGGCCCCGCAGAGCGUGGGGACCCAGGGUGGGGGUGCGAGGAGAGGCGCGCGCCCCAGCGGCCGUCGGGGGCGGAGGGGGAGGGGAGAGAGCCGGUCAAGGAGUGGCCCUCCGGCGCGCGCGUCCUCCGCGCGCCCCCACCCCGUACGGCGCCGGGCUUUCCACGCCCAGACCCUGCUACUCCACUGGGGUCCGACCCCGGCCCCUAGUCCGGGGAUUGGCGCACCGCGGGAGGUAGGGAGCCGCCCCGCCCCCCUGUCAACAGAAGCCCCGCCCCAGGCUGCGGAAGCUCCGCCCUCUGUCAGGAGAAGCCCCGCCUUCCCAGGGCUCGAAAUGGCCCCGCCCUUUGCCGGCGACCGCUCCGCCCACUGUCGACGGAAGCCUAGUCUUCUCUCGGGUCAGCACAGAAGGCAACCCCGCCUUCCUUGCGCUCCGCCUUCCUAAUGUCACUGCUGGAUCGUGAGAGGCCGCAGCUCCACCCGCUGACACCGAAAGUUCAGUUCAGCCGCACUUGGAACCGCCGAGUAAGGCGGAGCCGCCCUCUGUCCCUCCGCCGCCCUCCUCCCCUCGAACAGCCACUCUCUCUUCCCGAGACUUCUUUCCGAGUCGAGGGCUUCACAUCUCGACGGCUUCCAGGGAACCAGCCCUGCAGCGGGGUCAGCGAGUGCCCGGGCUUUCGGGAACACCGCCCGGCGUCGCCGCCCCUCUCCACUCACUUUCCCUUUCCCCCGCACCGCCGUCAGAACCAGGAGGAACAGAACCAAAGCGGAGAGCGGCAACUCACCCUCCAGCCGCUCCACACGCCGGGUCCUGGACGCUCGAGCGCCCCUGGGCCCCUUGACGUUCACUCCCC